UAGAGCAUCUCGUUUACACCGAGAGGGUCGGGAGUUCGAAUCUCUCAUCACCCACCA
Molecule: transfer RNA, 57 nt
Filed under: Thalassospira sp.
Lineage: Bacteria; Pseudomonadati; Pseudomonadota; Alphaproteobacteria; Rhodospirillales; Thalassospiraceae
Description: tRNA-Ser
Rfam family: tRNA
About the family: Transfer RNA (tRNA) molecules are approximately 80 nucleotides in length.
Source: RNAcentral